GCAUGAAGGAGGAAUUGCUAGUAAUCGCGGAUCAGCAUGCCGCGGUGAAUACGUUCCCGGGCCUUGUACACACCGCCCGUCACACCAUGAGAGCCGGUAACACCCGAAGUCGGUAGUCUAACCGCAAGGAGGACGCUGCCGAAGGUGGGAUUGACGACUGGGGUGAAGUCGUAACAAGGUAGC
This 183-nucleotide ribosomal RNA is filed under the name uncultured bacterium. RNAcentral describes it as "partial 16S ribosomal RNA". It matches the Rfam family "Bacterial small subunit ribosomal RNA", at positions 1318 to 1500 of the family's 1533-position model. The record is from RNAcentral.